GACGAACGCUGGCGGCGUGCUUAACACAUGCAAGUCGAACGGACAGGCCCUGCUUUUGUGGGGUGCUCGAGUGGCGAACGGGUGAGUAACACGUGAGUAACCUGCCCUUGACUUUGGGAUAACUUCAGGAAACUGGGGCUAAUACCGGAUAGGAGCUCCUGCUGCAUGGUGGGGGUUGGAAAGUUUCGGCGGUUGGGGAUGGACUCGCGGCUUAUCAGCUUGUUGGUGGGGUAGUGGCUUACCAAGGCUUUGACGGGUAGCCGGCCUGAGAGGGUGACCGGCGACAUUGGGACUGAGAUACGGCGCAGACUCCUACGGGAGGCAGCAGUGGGGAAUAUUGCACAAUGGGCGGAAGCCUGAUGCAGCAACGCCGCGUGCGGGAUGACGGCCUUCGGGUUGUAAACCGCUUUCGCCUGUGACGAAGCGUGAGUGACGGUAAUGGGUAAAGAAGCACCGGCUAACUACGUG
Molecule: ribosomal RNA, 468 nt
Filed under: uncultured bacterium
Lineage: Bacteria
Description: partial 16S ribosomal RNA
Rfam family: Bacterial small subunit ribosomal RNA
Source: RNAcentral